This is a long non-coding RNA of Fukomys damarensis (Damara mole-rat), 791 nucleotides long. RefSeq lists it as uncharacterized. The record is from RefSeq and is a predicted model, not a curated record. The transcript is spliced from 5 exons. NCBI's taxonomy places the organism in Eukaryota, Metazoa, Chordata, Mammalia, Rodentia, Bathyergidae.
CUGAGGCCUCUGCUUUCCCUCGUGUCCCUUUGUCCUGGCAAGAAUGAGAGCACUGAUGUUGUGAGACUGAUAUCACGUCUGAAGAGAAGGCAUCUUGUUAAAAUAGCAUGAAAAAGAAAGAGUCGGGGCACCAAUCUGCUCAUGUUUGGAGCUCAAGAGUCACAUUUUUACAAUGUGGUAUUUAUACCAAAGGAAGUACUACUCACCCAUAAAGGAGGAACUUGUUUGUAAAGGAACUGUGAGAUUGGUUGGUAAUUACCCAAGACCAUGAACAACCUGAAGAGGAGGAUUUUCCUGUGUAAAUCACUGCACAUACUCCUGGAAUGUUAUCCCAGCAGUCAGGAUGAAGGCAAAUCCUAAGACUUGGAACGAAUCCAUGAUAUAAAACUGACUCAGAACGACCGAGCAGAGACUGUCCCUUCCUAACUCGUGCGCCUCCAGCUUGCUCAUCCGCAGGUGAACGCUUUACCUCCUGGCCACAACUGCUCUCCGCUUUGCUGUUCUCCUCCGUCAAAGUGACUACUUUGCUUCUGUCAUCCUGUGUUACUACCACCCAUAUUCAUUUCAUCUUAGAGAACCAAUUGGAGCAUUUUCUUCUAUCACCUGUAUACCAAGAAUGGAUGAAUCUCAGGAAAAAUGAAGAUCAGGAGAAAUCAGAACUGCAGCUUGUUAACACUUGAAUUCCCAGAGCCAGAUCUUUCCUUGAGUUGUAGCAGGAAGUCCAGAAGCACUGAUUGAACUGAAUGAAAAUUUACCAGAUAAUGAAGGAUGUUUGAGUGCCGUUCUACACA